Molecule: ribosomal RNA, 109 nt
Filed under: Parcubacteria bacterium DG_72
Lineage: Bacteria; Candidatus Parcubacteria
Source: RNAcentral
UAAGGGAGCUAUGCUAGGAGUGCUCCACCUGUUCCCAUCUCGAACACAGAAGUGAAAUCUCCUAAGGCCGAUGAUAGUACAAUUGUGCGAAAGUAGGUAGCUCUCUUAU